This is a non-coding RNA of Sus scrofa (pig), 16876 nucleotides long. Lineage: Eukaryota; Metazoa; Chordata; Mammalia; Artiodactyla; Suidae. The record is from RefSeq and is a predicted model, not a curated record.
CCAGCGAAGGUGCCGGGAGCCGAGCCCUCCCCGCCGGCGCGGCCGUCAUCGCCCUGAGCGGGAGCGCGGGGGAGGCGGGCGCAGCCAGCUCUGCCGCGCAGGAGCAGGAGGAGGAGAAAGGGUGCGCAGCCCGGAGGCGGGGUGCGCCGGUGGGGUGCAGCGGAAGAGGGGGUCCAGGGGGGAGAACUUCGUAGCAGUCAUCCUUUUUAGGAAAAGAGGGAAAAAAUAAAACCCUCCCCCACCACCUCCUUCUCCCCACCCCUCGCCGCACCACACACAGCGCGGGCUUCUCGCGCUCGGCACCGGCGGGCCGGGUGCGUCCAGCCUUCAUUUAUCAAGCAGCUUUUCGGAAAAUGCAUUUGCCGUUCGGAGUUUAAUCAGAAGAGGAUUCCUGUCCCCGUCCCCGGCUCGUCCACCGGCCCCCGGUCCCUGUCUCUCUCCCGUGGAGGCGUGAAGCGGCCCCGCGGAUAGAAAUCCAUGUCCGUGCCCGCGCGUGUGUGUGCGUGUGUAAAUUGCCGAGAGGGGAAAAAUCACAGGACUUCUGCAAAUCCCGGACUGAAAAUUGUAAUUCAUCUGCCGCCGCCGCUGCCUUUCUUUUCUCGUGCUCUUGAGAUCUCUGGUUGGGAUUCCUACGGAUUGACAUUUCUGUAAAGGAGAAGUCUGGGAAUCAAACUGGAAAUUCUCCUAAUUUUUACACCUCCUCCCCCAGCUCCUGAUUCAUUUGGAAGUUUCAAAGCAGCUAUAACUGGAGAGUUCUGAAGAUUGAUGGAAUCUUUGCCUUAUGCAUUUGUUUUGUUUUCACAAAAAGGAAACUUGACAGAGGAUCAUGCUGUCCUUAAAAAAUACAAGUAAGUUCUUUGCACAGAAAAUUGGCUUAAUGUAACUUUCAAUGGAAACAUUUGAGAUUUUAACUUUUAAGUGCAUUCGAGUAAGUUUAAUUUCCAGGCAGUUUAAUACAUUCUUUUCAGCUGUGUAACUUGUAGUGUGUUAAGCCCUGCUUUCACCCAGUGUAUAAAGGGAAAUGCACCUGAUUUUGACUGAUUAGUUUUUUUAACCUUUCAGCAUCACGGGGGAAGUAGACUGAUAUUAACAAUAAUUAAUAAUGUGCCUCAUGAACUAAAGAUCCGAAAGGAAUUUAAAUAAAAAUUUCCUGCAUCUCAUGCCAAGAGGGAAACACCAGAAUCAAGUGUUCCGCGUGACUGAAGACACCCCCUCAACCAAGAAUGCAAAGCACAUCCAAUAAAAUAGCUGGAUUAUAACUAUUCUCUCUUUCGGGGCCGUGGGGUGGGAAGCGGGGGCGAGAGGUGCUGUUGGUACCCGGCUGCUUUUCCUCUGGGAAAGGAUGGCGCACGCUGGGAGAACAGGGUAUGAUAACCGGGAAAUAGUGAUGAAGUACAUCCACUAUAAGCUGUCGCAGAGGGGCUACGAGUGGGAUGCCGGAGACGCGGGCGCCGCGUCCCCGGGGGCCGCUCCCGCACCGGGCAUCUUCUCCUCCCAGCCCGGGCGAACCCCCGCUCCCGCCAGGACCUCGCCGCCGCCGACCCCGACCGCCCCCGCCGCCACCGCCGCCGCCGCCGCCGCCGCGGGGCCUGUACUCAGCCCGGUGCCACCUGUGGUCCACCUGACCCUGCGCCAGGCCGGCGAUGACUUCUCUCGUCGCUACCGCCGCGACUUUGCCGAGAUGUCCAGCCAGCUGCACCUGACUCCCUUCACCGCGAGGGGACGCUUUGCCACGGUGGUGGAGGAGCUCUUCAGGGAUGGGGUGAACUGGGGGAGGAUUGUGGCCUUCUUUGAGUUCGGUGGGGUCAUGUGUGUGGAGAGCGUCAACCGGGAGAUGUCGCCCCUGGUGGACAACAUCGCCCUGUGGAUGACUGAGUACCUGAACCGGCACCUGCACACCUGGAUCCAGGAUAACGGAGGCUGGGUAGGUGCAUGUGUGGUUGAAUGUGAGUCUGGGCUGCGCGUUAAGGGUCUGAGAUGCAGUGGUUGGAGUGUGGGUGGGCUGCUCGACCAAGGGCGGGCGGAUGAGCCAGUGCUAUAAAAUCAGGUUUGUGGCUUCCCUCCCCAUUUCCCCUGUUCAGAGCUCUCUCCCUGCCAACCGUACUGUGAUCAUUCCUUCCCGCCAAAACUGUUUGCCUUGCUUGCCAACCGUUGAGUUUCAAAGAUCCAGGCUUUGCUAUUCAGUAGGCUCUUGGGAUAAUGGUAUCCCUUCAGUGUUUUUCAAACUGGGAGUCCAAGGAUCCCCAGCAUUACUGUACCUGGCCUGAGUAGCUCCUUGAAAUCAGAGACAGGGCCAACUCAUAAACUGACCUCAGGCUGGGCCCUGGGAAUCUGCAUCAGAAAUAAGCCCCUCUGGGGGUUUCUUCUUUGUACUAAGAUGUGAGAACCACCCAAUUAGAAGAACAGACUCCCCCAGAAGACCAAGGUCAUGCCUUCUCCUCACUUGGUAACAUCUACCCAAAGAGGAAAACCAAUGGAGCCUAUUUCCCUGAAAAUCUUGGAUGUUUGUGAAAAGGUAAAUUGUAAGUUGACUUUCCAAAAGUCCGGCCAUUCCAAGCUGCAAUGUGAGCCACAUUCCCAGUGGGCAUGACCCAUUGUCUUGAAGAACACUCAUCUAUGGGUGUUUAUUUCAUCAGUGGCAGAAUUUGCAUUCGCUGCACGCUUUGUGUUCUAUUUCUAUAACUUGUGUAUGAUUUUGAGGUUUACUGGAAUUUUACUGUCUUACUUUUCACCAACUAGAAUUCACAUCAUUUUGGGUCUUCUCUGCUGGAUAAACGUGAAUCUACAGUAUCUAUAUAAAGCAUAGAAGAAUUGAUUCUUAGCUAUGGAUUCCUGUGCUCUGACUUUAGUUGAAGUGAUUAAUGCCUGUAUCUUUGAAGAACAUGUGUGAGCAUAUUUUUUUUUUUCUGGUAUUGUGCUAGGUAGAGCCUUCAUUAUGUCACCAUAAAUUUCUUUUUGGGUGUAUGAUUCUUUGGGGGUGGGGUACAGGUCCUAAGACUGAAGAAGUGUAAUUGAAGUCUAUACUUUAUAUAUCUAAAAUUAUUAAUUUAUGAAAAACCAAGAAAAGGAAUAAUUUUUGUCUGAAGUUUUUGCAGACUUUUUGUUUUAAUCUAAACAAUUGUCUUUGAAAAAGGAUGCAGUUCAGUGAGAAUUGCAUCCUUUAUUAGGAGGAUUAUAGGGAGAAUUACUAAUGCUAUUAUUUUAUGGAAACUAACAGGAGCAAAAAGCCUAGCAGUUACUAUAAGUGGAUUGGAUUUCAAGAUGCACAUUACAUAUUUUACUACAGUUUACAAAGUGUGCUAAUAUUAAGGGGCCAAAAAGAGAAAAGGCCAAGAAAAGUAGAUGACUGACAUGAACAUCUGAUCCUACUUGACCAAAGUUGACAAAAUAUUGAUGCCACUGUUCAGUGUUUAAAAGUAAACAUCCCCAUUUCAUCUCUAAAAUUUAAAUGCUUUUUGUGAGUUGUUUGUUUUUUGAGAUCCCAUACUACCAGAUCUUUAGUAAUUCUGGAAGAAUGCAGUAAACGGUGAAAAGAAUAUUUUUGUAAAAUGUUUGGUUAAGUAGGUGGUUUUAUUUUUAACCACCAUAACCAAAGAGGUAGGGACUUCCAGACGCCAAAGGGAUCAUUUUAAGACCAAAGUAAAGCUAAUUUAACAGUUUUAUUCUUUCAUAUUUUUUGUGAAAAAAUGUUAAACCAUUUUUCUUCCUAGCUGAAAGAAGUCCAAGGUGGUAACUGUCACAUGUUAAGUAAUUUAAUCAAAAGAUGGGAAGCAGAGACCUAUGUUUAUGAUAGAAAUUAAGAUAUAAUCUUGAUCUUCAUUGUUGAGCUGUGGUAUAUUAACAUCUCGUACAGUUGAAUUUUCUUUUUGAGUGAAGACUCACUUUUUCCUCCUUUCAAAAUAGAGUUUUCUUAGUAGAGCCUGUCUUUGUGGUCAACAGGUAUCUGAGGUUGAUAAAUGUAGAGGCUACAUUUUAUGAUGCCAAACCACAUGACAUACCAUAGAACAUGAUAAACUUUUUUUUUUUGACAAAACCUCUUAUAGUAAGAAUAAAUCAUAUAGAAGUACAAAUAGCUGAUGUUGAAAUAUGUAGUUUUCAGAACAACACAUAGAUGGAUGACUAGGUAGGAAAACAAAGGACUUUGGCCAAAAAGUAUAUAUACAUGUAUAUAUAUCAGGAAGUACAAUCAUAAAUGGAUACUUUGGAAUAAAAGUAACAGCAUUUGGGAGUCUGAUUUACUUAUCCUUUCAGAGGUGCAUUAUUAAUCUAAAUUUUUAUUUUAAGCAUUUGGCAUAUAGACAAAAUUUCCUCCAGAUUUAUACCAAUCAGCUAUGUUUCAUCUUACAGUACAGAGGACUCAAUAAGGAUGGUGAAGCUUCAGAAGAGAGCUAGCACAUUCUUUUGUCAUGGGACGAUGACUCUGACUCAGUGGAUCAGCUCAUCUACUGAAUCUGUACUAAUGGGGGCUUUAGACUUGAAGUCAUAUUUUUUCUUUGCUGCUGAAGAAUAGUUUGCAUUCCACGUUCCAUAACUUGGAGAAAGCAGGGCCUUGGACUGAUAGGGGUCUGAAAGAUGGUCCCAGAAGCCUACAAAUUAAGUAAAGACUAAAGACAAAAUUGGAUGUAGAGUGGAGUGGGGCUUUAUUCCUCAGUCUGAAGAAGGCAUCCAGAGGGAGACAGGACAGCAGAGCAUCGAGAUGGCAGCAGCAUUAGGAGAUGUCUAAGAUCCUACUCUUCCAAGUGUGGUUCACAGACCAGCAGCCUAGACAUCACUUGGGAACUUCUUAGAGAUGCAGGGUCUCAGGUCCUACCCCAGAGCUUCUGAGUCAGAAUCUGUGGUUUCCACAUCUACAGGUGUGUGUAUACACAUAAAAGUGAGAAAUGCUGGCCACCAUCACCAACCAUUGAAUCCUGUGCAUGUCUUUUAGGAAAAAUGACAAUCUGGGAUAGAUCCUGUAAGUGUCCCUUUCCAGUGGCCUCACGGGUCCAUAGCAUUACAUAGAAUACUGCGUAUUUCCUAGGUGUCCACAAGAGUGUUCUGACCCUUGAAAGAAAUAGACUGGAAUGAAAGAGAGAUAGGAAAGAAAUGAUUAUAUGCCCUGUCCCCUCAAGAAUGUUUUUCAUGGUAGCUUUGCAAUCUGUAUUGGCCUUACUGACCCCAUUAAAGGAAGACAGCUUUUCUGUUCCAGUUAAAAGACAGGAACUUUUACUCUUUCUAUAGCUCCAUUAGGUAUUUGAUUCUCUUGUAACACAGUUCAAAUUCUAUAGAAGAGUUUAGAACUUCUUCAUGACCAAGGGGCUCUUGCAAGUGGUGGGUUGAGAUUUGGGUGAGAUGAUGGUGCCUGAAUAUUGAUAGCAUCCUCCAAACUGAGAAAUGUGACCAACAUUUUUGCUUCAUGUCUUAGAAGAGAGAUGUCUGAUGAUUGCAAGAAUGAGAUGCCUUAAAUAGGCAGUUGGCUUCAUUCUGUUGAUGAGAUGGUGCUGUGACUUUUUGUGUGUGUUUAUCUUUUGGUCUUUGUGGUUUAGGAAGACAGGAACUUACUUCUCCACAUCCAGUAGAGGUUAGCUUCCUUUUUAUUAGUUGGUCAGCAAGCAGUUUCUCGUUUCUGUGUGUUGUCUACAUCCACCCAAAAGUGUGAUUAACUGGAAGGUAAUACCAUUCUUGGGCCAGUGUGCAUCAUUUUUCUAGUGGCUGAGUAUCAGCUGCUUAUGGCCAAUUAUGGCCGCAAAAUGACAGGAUUAAAAAUAGCUUGAAGAUGAUCCAGUCUUCGAUAAUAUAUUUAAUGAUGAACUUUCCUUGGGAAAGUGCAUCUUUCUGCCUGCUAAGAAUCACAUGGCCCCUUUCAAUAAUUUAUUUUGUGGAAAAUACACGUUAUUGCUUUUGCAGUCAUGUGCUGUUGAGUGAUUACAUUUGGGGACUUUUGUAAAAUGUUAUAGUUCACUCAGUUCUCUUUUCUGUUUUAGGGCAUUUGUUCUAUUUAGUAUCGGUCGAAAACAUGUCUUUCUUCUGCGCAUCCUGUUACUUGUAGCUGUGCUUUCUAGUGAGAACUGAUUGAUCUUUUUAGUAAUCCUUGAUUGACCUGGAACAUUUCAGAUUGUUCAAAUGUCAUUAGGCCACACAGUGCACCAGGUAACAGAAAGCCACAGAUUUUUUUUUUUUUUUUAAGCCAAAUCUCUUUGAGUUUCUCUUUAUCUCUACUCCCAGUCCUAGUCAGCUUUUUGGAGGAAUGAUAAACCCACUCGUGAAGCAGGCAUGUGGGUGCUAUGUGUAUUAAUAGCAGUGUCUCCCACUCAGAGCACCCCCACACCCACUUCCGAGGGCACCCAUUGUGUCUUCACAAGAGUUUAGCAAAGCGAUAUUUCAGCAGAAGUGUAUUUGUGCUAGAAAAACAACACUGUCUUUGUAGUAUGCAAGUAAAAAGGCUUUUUUUUCCCCCCUCAGAGAUAUAUUGUAUUUGAGGUUCAAAGGUUCUGUUAAACCUUUUUAAAGUAAUCUAAUAUCACCUUAUUCAGGUAUAGCGGUAACCUUGCGAGCUGGUCACCCUUUCCCCCAGCUAUACACAGGAGACCACUCAGAGAACUGACUCCGCUACGAAGCUUCUUUUUCAUUCCUCUUGGUUUGAUUCAAACCAAAUCAGUGCUUGACCUCACAACAGGAUUAACGAUGAAAGUCAGCCAAGGACUGAGACAGUAAUUCAACCAAUGUGAUUGCAAGUCUUCUGUGUGCCCAGCCCUGGGUUAGAUUGGGGGUCAGGGAGAAACGCUCCCCCCCUCUCCAGCCCUGGAUACUCUCAUAGGCUGAUGCUAGAGAUGUCCACGUGAACUCAGAGUUGCCACGCAACCUGGUAAGCAUGAUUUUAAACUCUCAGAUUUAGAGGGAGAAAGAAAAAGAAAAAAUAAAAUAAAAUAAAAAACUUAAGUAUGUGCUAUUUUGCAUAAACUUCCAUCUUUGUCUGAAAAAGUUAUUUCUAACCAUAUGGCUCUUCAUGUGUGUAUUAGGCCUGAUUUAACUAGGAGGAGAAAUAGUUUUUUAAAAAGACUGUGUUACACGGACAUACACUUAAGAGAACCGAAAGGCAGGGGGAGUUCCCUUGUUAAAUAUUUACCCUUUGGGCACUCCUUAUACAUAUUACGAAGACUUAAUAAACACUAAUCUGCAGUUUUUCAAGUAUUUCAUUAAUUGUUUCAAUAGAAGACAAUCAAGGCUCUGAUUAGGAUGAGUAGAAUAGAUUGCUUUGAAGAAAUAUCUUUCUUAAAUCCUUCUGGUAUGCAGAAAAAUACGAGUUGAUCUGAACCAGAACAGAGGAGAGAGGAAAAAACAAAGCUUUUGUUUUGGUUUGGUUUUAGGUUCUAGUAGUGUUCUGUUUAUUAAGAGGCUUCUCUUCCAAAAUGCAACUCAUAGAAAUUCCCGGCUCACUGGGACAUGUGUGUUCCCGAAGUGCAGGUGUUUACUGUCUAACUUCUUUUAUUCGUCGGCCCCUUCUUUAACUGGAGGUUGUAAAACUUUUGAAAUCACAACAUAGCUGUUUUCAUUUUUUAAAGUAUUUUUUUGUAGAUCGCCACUUGUUCUGAUCUGUGCUCACCUCUCUAGUGCCAGCAUGAUUUCUCUGCUCUUUAUUUGCCAGACAAAAGAGAAACCCAGCUGUCUUUCAGUGAGCAUGAUGCUGGAAUGAUUGUUUCUAUCUCUCCAAAGCCAUGUAGAAUUUCUCAUCAGGACCACUCCCACCCCCGACCAGGGUCCCCCACCUGCCCAUCACCCCAGCACAGGGAGACCUCCAAGGGGGAGCUCCUUGAUACUCACCAACAUGGGUAAGGUAGGACUGUGUCUACGCAAGAGCGUUGUGUCUAGGUAACCAGCAAGAGGGAGCAGAGAAGGGGUGGGUCAUAGCUAGAAUAUUAUGACCCCUGCUCCAGUCUUACUACAGGCAGCCGGGCAAGGAAAAAUUCUGUCGUUAGAUCUGAUGCUUUCCUUCCAGAGCUCAUAAAUUCCAGCCCUAUGCAGGGGAUAAGAUAGAAUCUGCUAGAAGAAUUUGUACUAGCUCUGGUCUCUGCAGUGUUAGAGGCGAGUGAGGGUUAUGCUCUAGCCUAAGAUAAAGUUUGACUAACUAAACUUAACUAAAAUCACUUAUACUAAAAACUGCUUUCCCAGAUGCCCUCUUAAACACGGUAGAAAGGGAAUGUCCCUGACCUGCUGGGGUGGCCCUUUGUAGCAGUGCACCAAGAGCUCCUUGGGUGAUUUUCUUACGUGAUUGGCUAGAUUCUACGAGAAAGUUCGCUGGUAUUUCCAUUCUGCUCCUUGUUUUGCCUUCAGACUUUCAGGGAUGGAGCCAUAUUCCAUUUUUAGUUAAUAAUGAACUCUCUGGGGCUUCAACAUAAUGAGUCAGAGGCUUAUGCCGGACUCCACUCUCCUCUUUACUUCGUCUCCUGAAAGCAACCCAAGGACCCACAGUGUCAAGUGAAGCUUACAUUUUCCGAAGGAGAUUUCACCAUUGAGACCAAUACUUCUUUCUUGUGAUGGUUCGAAUUACUACAUUUUUUUCUGUUUUUAACUGUCUUGUCUUAAGCUGCAAAAGAAUAUGGGGAGUUUAUGACUUGGGGAAUGCUUGGAAGACCAAACAAAGCAUCAGUGUUGCAGGGUCUCUCUUCUUGAUUUUAUCCGACUCUUCCUCACCAGCACUAAAGGUUUCUUCUGCUUUUACAGAACGAUGAAUGUCAUAUUCAUGUAUUGCCUUUGAAACUGAAUUGCAGCCAGAUAUUCCACCCAGCUGCAUUAGAAUUUUCAAAGCGAAAAUACUUAGUCCUCUUAAUUCAAUGCCUUCUGACAAUUAGGGUAGGAAAAAAUUAAUUACAAAUUAUAUCACCAUCUUUAGAUAUUGAUUUUUUUAUCUCUUGGGGAAAAAAAGCAAGUCCAUAAAGGAUGCCAGGUGGCACCUCUAAGUCUAAAUUUUUAGGACUACGUCCUAGCCAUUCUCUUUAUGAAUUCCUGCUGGCAUUUCUCUCUCUCUCUCUCUCCCUUUCUCUUUCUCUCUCUCUUUCUCUCUAACACUUAAAACUUUCAAAGGCAGUUUUGAGCUAUUUUUAACAAAAUUUUAAGUAUAGUGAGGCAGAGCCUCUUACUAAAUAUUAAAGUGACUGUAUAAAAAGAAAACAAUGGGAAGAGGUCUUAAGGAAGACGAGCAAUUGUUCGCUAAUCUUAACUCCGAGUUCCUAGCAACCAGGGCAGUGGUGGGAGAAUAAAGAUCUUGUUAUUUUGUAGCACAUGCACACUACCCUUUUCCAUUGAAAAAACAUUUAUUGGGGGUCUACCAUGUGCAGAGUUCUAUGCCAGGUGUUUCAUCUGUGGAAGAAAACCUCUGCCUCUAAGGAAUUAGCCAACCAGUAGUGAGACUGAGAUGUGUAAAUUGCUGUGAUCCUUGACACACUUUAGUGGGCGGAACCAUCUGGUCCAGCUGGAAGAAGGGGAUCUGGAUGAGUUUUGGUGGGAGAUAUGGAGAGAGGGCAUUUCAGGUAGCUGGAUGGGCCUGGAGGAGUCAGAGCAGGCAGGAAUAUGUGAGGCGUCCCUGGGGACUUGGAAAGAGUCUGACGAGAUUGGGGCAUGGAGAUUUCUUGUGAGAAAAGACUGGAUCGUAAGUUGAGAGGUCUGUGUUGAAUUUGGUCGAUGUUAAUAGGUUCUUGAAAGGGUUCUGAGACAAGGUGGGGUAUGUAGGCUGGUGGAAGAUUGACAGUGGCUGAGGUUGGAUAGUGGGAGACCAAGGAAGAGGUUUGGACCAGGGCAGGGGGAGUGGGGAUGUGGACCCCAAGGACUGACAACAGAUUGAACAUGGGAAAUGAGGGAGGGAAAGAAGCAAAGAAUGCAAAUUCCAAACCCAGGAUAAGAAAAAUGACCGUUUUGUGGGGUAAAUGUGAUGAAAUUCAUUUUGGACAUUUUCAUCUUGAGCUUCCCAUAGGGUAUCCAUCGGAAAUGCCCAGGAGCAGUUGGUCUUCAGGAUCUAGACCUGGAGAGAGACAUUGGGGCUGGAAUACACCCUGCUUUUCCCCCAAACCCUGUCAACUCCCCCCUUUUCUUCUUUUGUUUCCAAAAAUGGUCCUAGCUGCUGCUGCUGAUUCUGCCUUCUUUUAUUAACCACUCUUUCUACACCACCUUUCCCCCAAAGUCCUCUGUAGAGGUCUAUGGAUUGAAUUAAGGUGAUUAACUUGAAGUUUUACUGUUCAAAGCUUGGCUCCCCACUACCAGUUUGCCUACUUAAAGAUAACUCAACUGGAGUUAGAUUACUGUUGUUUCAACAUCCUAGUAGUGUUCUCCGUUUGCAGAUUCUUAGACAGUCCAGGAGUUCUCCUGCACUGGUACUUGCUGACUUAAUAGCAGUUCUCCUAGUAUAUUGAACCCGCACCUAGCAUAGUAGAUAGUAGGUGCACACAAUGAUUGUUGAUUGAAUAAAUGAAUUAAUAAAAGUGAUAGGAUAGAGGCCCUUUGGACAUCAAACUCAUCCUCUCCACUCAUUAUAUAGAGUAUAUAUGUUCCACUCUCUAAUGUUCCACUGUAGGGACAUAUGUGUUCCCACUGACCCAUCCUAUGGAUUCUGUUAAUAUUCAGUAGAAGUGGACAAAGAAAACUACCUCAAUGUUUUGAUUUCAUCCUUUAUCAUUGAAUUGAAAAAGUAAGUCAUUCAUACCUGAAAAGAAAUCUUCUAGAUUUUGCUUGAUCUUAAACAUUCAACUUUAAUGAAAGUCCUCACUGCUAAUAUGAGAGAUUAGCACAUCUCUGAUCACAUUGUAUCUGUUUGUACAAAGGAUACACGCACACAGUCAGACAUAUAUGUGCAUACUUGCUCUCAUUUCUCGGGUUUUGUGUCUCCAGCCCUGUUCAGACAGUCAGAGCCUUGUCAUCUAAACUUCUUCAUUACCUCAUCCUGAAAGAAAGCAGGGCUUGUCCAUGGUUCUCACAGUGGGGGACAGAGUGGCUUUUCCUCUGUUAUUAGUAUUGUAACUCAAAUAUAAAAGAACUAUAGCAUACAAGUCACAAGGAUAAAUGGUCCCCUAGUUCUCCUCCCCUAAAAACAAGUAGCCAAUUGGAGAUGGGGGUCAGUAUAACUCGGUAUGUCCAGAGCAGAGGGAUGCUGGGAUUUUAUUUCUCCAGACACUGGCCAAUGGGAAGAUUACUAGGAGUGGUAUGGAGCAAACCACUGGGCUGACAGGUUUGGGCUCCAUCCUCUGUUCUGGUUGAAGCAAGCAUCACAGCCUUUCUGUGGUUUUUAAGAACUGGUGGAAUUUGCAUUUUGAGAAUCCUUAUUCCUUGGCAUGAAGCAAACUCAAAAGCAUCGUUGCUCAUCAUUUGUCAUCUGUUUGAAAAAGAUUAUGUGAUUUGUGCACUUGUCAUGAAGCUUGACCAUACUUCUGGGGCUUACAGAUGUGAGUCCCUGUGAAAGAAACCACAAGCAAAUUCUCUUUUCUCCCCUAUCUUUACUUCUUCCCUCUCGUUUCUUCAAUGGCCAUCUGUGCAUUAUGUUACCACUGCCAGACCCUCUUCAAGUGGCUUAUCUAUGAGUGAAUUCAGAAACUUCAAAUUAUAAAGGACACCCAGAUAAUUGGCCCGUUCUCCAGAGUAUCUGUCCCCUGUGCUGCUGCCAGAUUCCUUCUUAAUGAAUACAUCCAGUGACAGUGGGAUUCUUGAUCCUCCGGAUCCGUGAGAAAAUGAGCUUCCCUGCUUUGUAACAGCUUGCAGCUCUGGGGGAAAAAAAAUGACAGCCAUUGCACAAGUUUCCUUUGAAUGUAGUUUUCUUUCCCAUAAAUGAUACUUUGAGACUAUACUUAAGGGGUUAUUAGUUUUCUAUUUCAUGCUUGGCCUGUGUGUGAUAAUAACACAAGCUGUCACUGCAAAUCAGCAGCUAAACACGCUCUGUCUGGUUAAUGCGAGCAUUUCAUAUUUGGCUCAAUUAAAAAUUAACUGAUGAAAGUACAUGUCAAAUGGAAUUUGAAAAUACCUUUUGUAGGGAAGAUUGAAAGGGCAUGGCCAAUGAGUAAAUUAGUGGUUUUCAAAUGUGAGGAUUUUGGGGACAUUUAAUACGAGUUGGGACACUUGACUCUUCUCUCAAAUCUCUCUACCUGUUUGAAAAGGAUGUUCCCAUCCAUAUCAUGAAGGGCUCGAUUGCAUCUGUGUGUUUACUGGAAAAUAAUUGUUGUGUGUGUGUGUGUGUUUGCAUGCGUGCUUGCUGGAUCAUACAGUUAAAGCAGAUAGAACAGGGGAUGGGGGACUCCUCUAUCUCACACUUUGUUUUUUUCCAUUGGCAGCAUGCUAUGGGCCAAUGUGGGGAGGUAGGAGCUAGCUUAGAGUCUGCAGGCUGGAGAUCAUGAAACAGCAGCUGCAGGAGAGCCUGGGGGAAGCUGGGAGCAAAGAAACGCAACCACAGUAGGGGCAUUUACUGGAGUUGGGGAAGUCUUCCCAGGAAAGGGAGCUGAAGCCUGGAAGCUGAGCCAAAAGUAACCUAGGGCUGUGGUAAGAAGGAGCAGAGUGUGGCCAGCAGACAGGACAUGGAGAAGAGGGACCGGGGGCUCCAGAGCAUGUGGGGAGUUGAAGGAACAGAGGAGUCCAGCCUGGCUGGAGUGAGGGGUACAGGUAGGGUGGAUUAGAAAGGUGGCCAAUAGAGUUGUACCACUGUGUGUAUGGGGGGGGUGGUGGUUAUUUUAGAGAGGUCCCUCUCUAUUUGCUCAGCUAGACAGGUGAUAUUAGUGACAGGUAGGAUGCUAGCUCAGUAAAGGUGAUGUGUGAUCUCAGUACCCAGACCAGGGAUUGAAUCCAGGCUGUUUCAAUGAAAGCACUGUAAUCCUAACCACUAGACCACCAGGGAACUCCCAAGAAAUUGAUAGUUUUGUGCAAUAAUCAGGACUGGAAAGGAGAGAUUUCUGGGAAGAUGUAGUGAUUGACUGAAUGCUUUCAAAUCUUGCUCAUUUCUUUUUCAGUUACAGUGGUCUUUUUUUCUGUAGCCACUUUGAAAAGAAUAUGUUUGGUCAUUGUUCUGGUUAUACACAAAUUUUUUUUUUAAGUUUCCCAUUCUCUUAAAUUAAUACAGCCUGACUGAAAACUUGAUUUUGUUGGAAUUCACAUUGCAAUAAAUCUUCAUUAAAAACCAGUUAAUGAAGAUUUAUUUGAAGAAAGAACUCAACUAUGAAAGACAGUUUUCACAGAAUUUUUUCCUAGGUUAAAAAAAAUUGCAACAGUAGUGUCUUGUUUUGAUGGAGGAUUUUAAAGUUUCCGAAGGAAUUCUGGAUCUUUUGACCCAUUUGAUUUUCAGAAAACUCUAGGCAAGGCAGGUAUUAUAUUCCCACUUCUCUCUGGCUUCCUCUUCCCACACCCUUUUUGUUAUUUGUUUAUCCCCAUGUGAAGAGAAAACCUAGACUAACAAAGCCACAUGAGAGCCAGUAAGUCAAGAGGAGCGGGUGUUCAGUGCCAGACCCGGAGUCCGGGAGAUAUUUCUUAAUGCUGUGCUCCUUCUUGGGGCAUGUUUUCAUAAGGACACUAGAUUCCUCAAUAGAAACCUAAUCAAGUUUAUGCCUAAUUUUAAAAAAUAGUAUCCCUAACUGCUUUUUAUCGCAAAGAUUUUUCAGGAAAAUUAAAAUGUAAUCUUGCAUUUCAGGUUACUUUCUCUCCUUUGGUUUAGCUUUUGAAAUGUGUUUCAUCUUAAUGGUGGAGGGACAUCUAACUUCGCCUUAUGAUGCACGUGGAUGUGACUGUGAAUUGAUCAAACUGGGCACACUUGACCUUGAAACUCCUUCUAAGGGGAUGGUAGUGUCCUGGGUAAGAGAGUUUGCUAAAACUCAUGCGAGGGUUCUGGAAAACAGCUCCUUUCAGCAGGGGUCAAGUGGAAUUAUAUAAACAUAAAUGGCUGUUUCUGCCUAGGGAUCUGUGUUUUUAUUUACUUUAAAAAUUGGAACUCUGGGAGUUCCCUGGUGGCACAGCAGGUUAAGGAUCCCAUGUUGUCACUGCUGUGGUUGGCGUUCCAUCCCUGGCCCAGAAACUUCCACAUGCCUCAAGCAUGAUCCAAAAGAAAAAUUGAGCUCCUGUCUUUAGGUAUCCAAUAUAAAUUUGGUGAGUGAAGUGUUUUUUGAACUGAAAAAAUGGUGGCACUUUCAUCUGUAGGAUUUCCCCAGUGUCUAAAGGACAUAUGGGUAUACAUUUGUUCAACUUUGUUCAUUCAACAGAUAAUUGUAAGAGUGCUGGAGCUAUGGCAGAAACAUGACAGCCGUGAACUGUCUCUUGUACCUCUCGUGAAUCCAACAUUGUGGAGAAAUCAGAACAGUAAACAGGCAAAUAAUUGACAAUAUAAUAUAGGGGCUACAACAUAAUAAAAACAAGGGAAUUCAAUACAGGAGUGCUGAUGGGGCAGUAUUAACGUCUUACAUUUGUUUUUUAAAACUAUAGUUGAUUUAUUAUGUCAUGCCAAUUUCUGCUGUACAGCAAAGUGACCCAGUCAUACAUAUGCAUACAUUCCCUUUCUUAUAUUAUCUUCCACAUGGUCUAGACCAAAAGACUGGAUAUAGUUCCCUGAGCUAUACAGUAGGACCUCAUUGCUUAUCUUUAUUUUAUUUUAUUUAUUUAUUUUUUGUCCCUUUAGGGCCACACCAUAUGGAAGUUUCCAGGCUAGGGGUGGAAUCGGACAUGUAGCCACCAGCCUACACCACAGCCACAGCGGUGCGAGAUCCAAGCAGUGUCUGCAACCUAUACCACAGCUUAUAGCAAUGCCGGAUCCUUAGCCCACUGAGCGAGGCCAGGGAUUGGACCUGCAUCUCAUGAAUGCUACUCAGAUUCGUUUCUGCUGAGCCACUACAGGAACUCCUCAUUGCUCAUCUUUAUAGUCUUUUUUCUUUUUUGGCCACCCUGUGACAUAUGGAGCUCCUGGACCAGGGAUCAGAUCAAGCUGCAGCCAUGGCCUAAGCUGCUGCUGUGACAAUGCCAGAUCCCUAACCCGCUAUGUCAGGCCAGGGAUCCAACCUGCGUCCCAGUGCUCCCAAGAUGCCACUGAAGCGGAACUUCUGUAUUUGUUUUUGGGUUCUUCCAAUACUAUUGCUGUUUGCUCAGAGGAGUUUGAAUGGAUUUUUAUUUUUAUUUACUUACUUUUCUGGCCACACUCAUGGCACUUGAAAGUUCCUGGGCCAGGGAUUGAACCUGCUGCAGUGAUGACACUGGAUCCUUAACUCACUGAGCCACCAGGGAACUCCUGAAUGGCUUUUUAAAAAUUAACAACUUAAAACAUAGUGUCCUACCUUAAAAUUUAAAUAUAGAUUAGUAUAAUAAGGCCCGUACAUCAGUUUAAAAAUGGGCUACUGGGGUUCCCAUUGUGGCUAAGUGGAAACGAAUCUGACUAGUAUCCAUGAGGAUGCAGGUUCGAUCCCUGGCCUUGCUCAGUGGGUUAAUAAGGAUCUGGCGUUGCCAUGAGCUGUAGUGUAGGUUGCAGACUGGGCUUGGAUCCUGUAUUACUGUGGCUAUGGUGUAGGCUGGCAGCUACAGCUCUGAUUCGACUCCUAGCCUGGGAACUUCCAUAUGCCAUGGGUGCAGCCCUAAAAAGACACAUACACACAAAAAAAGGUCAUUUCUCUUGAACCACAAAAAGGCUAGCAUGCUCACCAUAGGAUUAAAGAUGACCUAUUUUAGGCUAAAAUGUUUGGAGCGCUUUCCCUAUUAUCCCGGACCAAUCCAACCAUAUUCCCCAUGUCCAUUUGCCACAACAUUGGUCAUUGGCCUCUGCUGCUGAAGUUAGCAGAAAGGAAGGAAACUAGCAAUAAUUGAACCCCACUAGGUGCCAGAUUUGGGGCUUAACACUUUAUGGAUAGAAGAUUAGUUAACUCCAGUAACCUCCCCCUGAGGGUAGGAAGUGGAAUUAUAGACGAGGAAACAGAGGUUCUGCAAAAUCAAGUAACUUGGCCUGGCAAGAGGCAAAAGCAGAUCCUUUUUCAGGCAAUCCAAGUGGUAACUGAUGUCCUCUGAAACAUCAAGAAAUUUUUAAAAAUUUAAAACACAAACCUAUUAAAAGUAACAAUUUGGUGCAUGUGAUGUUUUGGUUUCUUUUGUGUCUCUUUAGGAAGUCCAUUAGCCUUCUUUAUCUCAGUAACUAGGAGGUAAAAUCUCUUACAAUGUGGACUUUAAAAGUUCUUUCCUAGUUUAAAAAAAAAGAGACACACACAGAGAAACAAAAUGCUUCUGUCUCUCCUCUUUGGCUCCAAUAGUCUGUAUAAAUAGCCUUUGAAAAAUAAGUCAUAAUCACUUCUUCACACCAAGACCAGACACCUGAUUCAGAAACUCUCCCUGGGGUAAGUGUGUGUGUGUGUGUGUGUGUGUUGGAAUAACACACCCACAGUGCUUUCCCGAUUCAAGAGAAAUGAUCUCACUGUCCAAUUGUUACCUGCCUAAUGCCUUAAUCAAAAGGUGGGAAAAGUCUGCGGUUUUACCCCUGGUGUGAUCCUCAGCCCUCACUGUUCUUAUUUUAGGCAUGACCUUAGUGUUUUUUCCAGAGUCCAGAGGUGGAAUGACAUGUUACUCAAGUUUACAAGAUGAUGAUGUAUCUGCUUUUAUAUUUAGCUGUAAAUUUUAUUCUACUCAUAAACAAACCCACCUUCGGUAACCACGGUGCAUCAAGGGACAGUUAUUUCCAUUCCCCUUGGUUUAAUUUGGAUACAUUUGGCCUAGAACAGCACAGUGUUUCCAUAAUAACAUCUGAACAGGAUGCUGUGUUGAUCUGCAGGGCUCAGGGAGUUUCAGCAUGGGCCAGGAAACUACUUUCUUAAAAGGAACUUAAACAUCAAAUUCUGACAAGGAUGCCUUUGUGGAGCUGUAUGGGCCCAGCAUGCGGCCUCUAUUUGAUUUCUCCUGGCUGUCUCUGAAGGCG